RNA transcript from Solea solea (common sole), 2159 nucleotides. It is a transcript of the gene named protein kinase, AMP-activated, gamma 3a non-catalytic subunit, with no coding region annotated. The transcript is spliced from 13 exons. The record is from RefSeq and is a predicted model, not a curated record. Lineage: Eukaryota; Metazoa; Chordata; Actinopteri; Pleuronectiformes; Soleidae.
CCAAGUGGAUGAAUCUACAGUGUCCCUCCCCCUGAAAGUGGUGCCAGCUCCUCCCCGUCUUCCCUGGCUGUGAACACAUACCACCAGAGAGCUCCUAAUAUAGACCACGAGUAGUAAAGGGUAAAGAAGUGAACACCGUCAACAGCUGAAAACUUCCUUUUCAUGGACACAACAGACUCAUGGAGCCUCCUUCACAGGUGUCAAUCCCAAAAAAGAAGAGGGAAAUGCAGAAACAAGAAGCUGACGCCGCAGUCUACAUGAACUUCAUGAAGAGCCACCGCUGCUACGACGCCAUUCCAACCAGCUGUAAACUGGUCAUAUUUGACACCACGCUACAAGUGAAAAAGGCCUUUUUUGCUCUGGUGGCAAACGGCUUGAGGGCUGCGCCGCUGUGGGACAACAAGCUGCAGAGAUUUGUGGGAAUGCUGACGAUUACAGAUUUCAUCAACAUGCUGCACUGCUAUUACAAGUCUCCGAUGGUCCAGAUGUACGAGCUGGAGAACCACAAGAUCCAGACAUGGCGAGACGUCUAUCUGCAAUAUUCCGAUUUCUUCCUCAUCAGUAUCUCUCCAGAGGCCAGCCUCUUCGAUGCCAUUUAUUCCUUACUCAAAUAUAAGAUCCACAGGCUUCCCGUCAUCGAUCCAGAGUCUGGAAACGUCCUGCACAUUCUCACACACAAAAGAAUCCUCAAGUUCCUUCAUAUAUUCAGGAGACAAAUUCCCAAGCCUGCGUUUAUUCGGAGGCCGAUCAAGGAACUCGGGAUCGGAACGUUCAGGAACAUCGCCACAGUUCAGGAAACAGCGUCGCUGUACGAGGCGCUCUCUAUAUUCGUGGACAGACGAGUGUCGGCUCUGCCGGUGGUCAACGACCAAGGUAAAGUGGUGGCGCUCUACUCAAAGUUUGAUGUCAUUAAUCUCGCCGCCCAGAAGAGUUACAACAACCUGGACAUCACGAUGCAGGAGGCCGUCAGCAGGCGCAGGUGCUUUGUUGAGGGAGUGAUCAAGUGCUAUCCUCACGAAAGCCUGGAGAUUAUCAUGGAUCGCAUUGUCAGAGCCGAGGUCCAUCGGCUGGUUCUGGUGGACAGGAGUGACGAGGUGAAGGGCAUCAUCUCUCUGUCGGACCUGCUGCAGGCCAUGGUCCUCACUCCUGCAGGUAUUGACGCUCUUUGGUCCUAACACCGGGGGGGAAAUGGCGUCCCUUUCCUCUACCACCUGUGCAGACCUGAGUCCUGGCCGUGUGUCCAGGCAGAAAUCACCGUGUGAUCGAAACGAGAAAAUCACCUGGAAGAGAAAUCCCCCGCCUGUGCCGUUGUUUACAUUACAUACAUUAAAGGGAUAGUUCAGGGUUAGUUGAGUUUUUUUCUUUGCACAGUAUACAUGUAGUAGAACAUGGGACACAGCCACUUAAUAAAAGACUCCAUCAUUUGCUGCUUUAUCUCAUCAUUAGACAACCUUUUCCGCCUGGAAAGAGGACAUUUUGGAAAACGUUUGCUCUCCUGCACCAAACCCCACAGAGAAAAUCAGUGAUUUUAGCUCAUGGUGACACAGGAGCUGCUGGUCGUCUGCUGCCUCGUGUGGUCACUUUGUGCCACUGAGGUUAAUCUGAACAAAGUCAAUCAAAUGCCGAAGUGACAAGAUGUCACAUAUGAAUUUACUGAUGGAGGCAGCAGUGGAUCAACAACUCCUGUGUGCUGUGAUGUUAAAAUCAUUGAUUUUCUCCAUGGAGUUUGGUGUGGGAGAGUGAGUGGUUUGUAAAGUUCUUUUUUCUUUCAGAAAAGCAAGAUAAAGUGGUUAAUACCUUAAGUUAAGGUAGAUUUUAUGAGUUGAGGCUUUUGUUAAGUGGCUUCUCUUACUAUGUCAAACUUUUUUUUCACUUGAAAAACCCUCAACAAUCCCUUUAAGAUUUUUACUGUAAUCUGCAUUAAAUCCAUGCAGAUUUCACUUAAAAAAAAACCUCAACUAUCCUUUCAGAUUUUAACUGUAAUCUGCAUUAAAUCCAUGUAAAGGUUUUUUCACUUAAAAAACCCUCAACUAUGCCUUUAAGAUGUUUUCUGUAAUCUUUAUUAAACACAUGUAAAUGUUUUUUUUCCACUUAAAAACCCCCUCAACUAUCCCUCAAGAUGUGUUGUGUAAUCUGCAUUAAAUCCAUGUCAAACAUUG